CUCCAAGGCUAAAUACUCCUGACUGACCGAUAGUGAACCAGUACCGUGAGGGAAAGGCGAAAAGAACCCCGGCGAGGGGAGUGAAAAAGAACCUGAAACCGUGUACGUACAAGCAGUGGGAGCACGCUUAGGCGUGUGACUGCGUACCUUUUGUAUAAUGGGUCAGCGACUUAUAUUCUGUAGCAAGGUUAACCGAAUAGGGGAGCCGAAGGGAAACCGAGUCUUAACUGGGCGUUAAGUUGCAGGGUAUAGACCCGAAACCCGGUGAUCUAGCCAUGGGCAGGUUGAAGGUUGGGUAACACUAACUGGAGGACCGAACCGACUAAUGUUGAAAAAUUAGCGGAUGACUUGUGGCUGGGGGUGAAAGGCCAAUCAAACCGGGAGAUAGCUGGUUCUCCCCGAAAGCUAUUUAGGUAGCGCCUCGUGAAUUCAUCUCCGGGGGUAGAGCACUGUUUCGGCAAGGGGGUCAUCCCGACUUACCAACCCGAUGCAAACUGCGAAUACCGGAGAAUGUUAUCACGGGAGACACACGGCGGGUGCUAACGUCCGUCGUGAAGAGGGAAACAACCCAGACCGCCAGCUAAGGUCCCAAAGUCAUGGUUAAGUGGGAAACGAUGUGGGAAGGCCCAGACAGCCAGGAUGUUGGCUUAGAAGCAGCCAUCAUUUAAAGAAAGCGUAAUAGCUCACUGGUCGAGUCGGCCUGCGCGGAAGAUGUAACGGGGCUAAACCAUGCACCGAAGCUGCGGCAGCGACGCUUAUGCGUUGUUGGGUAGGGGAGCGUUCUGUAAGCCUGCGAAGGUGUGCUGUGAGGCAUGCUGGAGGUAUCAGAAGUGCGAAUGCUGACAUAAGUAACGAUAAAGCGGGUGAAAAGCCCGCUCGCCGGAAGACCAAGGGUUCCUGUCCAACGUUAAUCGGGGCAGGGUGAGUCGACCCCUAAGGCGAGGCCGAAAGGCGUAGUCGAUGGGAAACAGGUUAAUAUUCCUGUACUUGGUGUUACUGCGAAGGGGGGACGGAGAAGGCUAUGUUGGCCGGGCGACGGUUGUCCCGGUUUAAGCGUGUAGGCUGGU
Molecule: ribosomal RNA, 1067 nt
Filed under: Escherichia coli
Lineage: Bacteria; Pseudomonadati; Pseudomonadota; Gammaproteobacteria; Enterobacterales; Enterobacteriaceae
Description: partial 23S ribosomal RNA
Rfam family: Bacterial large subunit ribosomal RNA
Source: RNAcentral